Molecule: ribosomal RNA, 134 nt
Filed under: uncultured Pseudomonas sp.
Lineage: Bacteria; Pseudomonadati; Pseudomonadota; Gammaproteobacteria; Pseudomonadales; Pseudomonadaceae
Description: partial 16S ribosomal RNA
Rfam family: Bacterial small subunit ribosomal RNA
Source: RNAcentral
CGCGUGUGUGAAGAAGGUCUUCGGAUUGUAAAGCUUUUUAAGUUGGGAGGAAGGGCAGUAAGUUAAUACCUUGCUGUUUUGACGUUACCAACAGAAUAAGCACCGGCUAAAUUCGUGCCAGCAGCCGCGGUAAU